CCUCCUUAUACGAUUUAGAACUUAUUUGUUCGUAGUGUCCACACAGAUGAUUGUUAAUUAGUUAAGCCACUGGCUUAGUUAAUUAAUAUGCUCUUUAAAAAUUUGGAAAAGCUGAUAAUAAAAUUCGUAUGAAUAACAUUGUUAUUUGUACAGAGUUUUCAAAAGUAAAAAAGAAUGAUAGCAGUAUCAUUCAGUGCCAUUUAAUCACUCUUUGAGUCGAUUGAUUGGUAUCUACUUUAGUAUUCAAUAUUAACUUCUGGCGAAGUUAAACUGUCACAAAACGAAGACCCGUUUGGGUUGUAUGGUUAAGUGACUAAGCGUACACGGUGGAUGCCUUGGCAGUUGGAGGCGAUGAA
Molecule: unclassified non-coding RNA, 356 nt
Filed under: uncultured Pseudoalteromonas sp.
Lineage: Bacteria; Pseudomonadati; Pseudomonadota; Gammaproteobacteria; Alteromonadales; Pseudoalteromonadaceae
Description: partial 16S-23S ribosomal RNA intergenic spacer
Source: RNAcentral